RNAcentral lists this ribosomal RNA (783 nucleotides) under human gut metagenome. RNAcentral describes it as "bacterial SSU rRNA". It matches the Rfam family "Bacterial small subunit ribosomal RNA", at positions 108 to 906 of the family's 1533-position model. The record is from RNAcentral.
GAGUAACACGUGAGCAACCUGCCUUUCAGAGGGGGAUAACGGCUGGAAACGGUCGCUAAUACCGCAUGAUGUGUUCGGAUGGCAUCAUCUGAACAUCAAAGAUUUAUCGCUGAAAGAUGGGCUCGCGUCUGAUUAGAUAGUUGGUGGGGUAACGGCCUACCAAGUCGACGAUCAGUAGCCGGACUGAGAGGUUGAACGGCCACAUUGGGACUGAGAUACGGCCCAGACUCCUACGGGAGGCAGCAGUGGGGAAUAUUGCACAAUGGGGGAAACCCUGAUGCAGCAACGCCGCGUGAAGGAUGACGGUUUUCGGAUUGUAAACUUCUUUUCUUAGUGACGAAGACAGUGACGGUAGCUAAGGAAUAAGCAUCGGCUAACUACGUGCCAGCAGCCGCGGUAAUACGUAGGAUGCAAGCGUUAUCCGGAUUUACUGGGUGUAAAGGGAGCGCAGGCGGGACUGCAAGUUGGAUGUGAAAUACCGUGGCUUAACCACGGAACUGCAUCCAAAACUGUAGUUCUUGAGUGAAGUAGAGGCAAGCGGAAUUCCGAGUGUAGCGGUGAAAUGCGUAGAUAUUCGGAGGAACACCAGUGGCGAAGGCGGCUUGCUGGGCUUUAACUGACGCUGAGGCUCGAAAGUGUGGGGAGCAAACAGGAUUAGAUACCCUGGUAGUCCACACUGUAAACGAUGAUAGCUAGGUGUGGGGGGUCUGACCCCUUCCGUGCCGGAGUUAACGCAAUAAGCUAUCCACCUGGGGAGUACGACCGCAAGGUUGAAACUCAAAG